CCUCUCCAUUGGUCUAAAAACACCAGGGGUUGUCCAGGAACAUGUUCUGCUCCCUCCCUCUCCAUUGGUCUAAAAACACCAGGAACAUGUUCUGCUCCCUCCCUCUCCAUUGGUCUAAAACACCAGGAACAUGUUCUGCUCCCUCCCUCUCCAUUGGUCUAAAACACCAGGAACAUGUUCUGCUCCCUCCCUCUCCAUUGGUCUAAAACACCAGGAACAUGUUCUGCUCCCUCCCUCUCCAUUGGUCUAAAACACCAGGAACAUGUUCUGCUCCCUCCCUCUCCAUUGGUCUAAAACACCAGGAACAUGUUCUGCUCCCUCUCCAUUGGUCUAAAACACCAGGGGUUGUCCAGGAACAUGUUCUGCUCCCUCCCUCUCCAUUGGUCUAAAAACACCAGGGGUUGUCCAGGAACAUGUUCUGCUCCCUCCCUCUCCAUUGGUCUAAAACACCAGGGGUUGUCCAGGAACAUGUUCUGCUCCUCCCUCUCCAUUGGUCUAAAACACCAGGGGUUGUCCAGGAACAGGUUGUGAAACAGACAGAUAUGAAAGGCUUUGCUCCUCUUCAGAUCGUCAGAAAACAACAGUGGCCAGUCCAUAUGGGACGACUUGAAGCUACACUGAACAAACAAUAUAAACAAAACAGAGAAAAGUGUUGUUCCCAUGAUUCAUGAGCUGGAAUGAAAAGAGACUAGAAAUGUUCCAUACACACAUUUUCUGGCAUAAAUUUGUUUCCAUCCCUGUUAGUGAACAUUUCUCCUGUGCCAAGAGAAUCCGUUCCCCUGACAGGUGUGGCAUAACAAGAAGCUGAUUAAACAGAAUGAUAAUUACACAGGUGCACCUUGUGCUGGGGGACAAUAAAAAAAAAAAGGCAAUUUUGUCACACAACACAAUGUCACAUAUGUCUCAAGUUUUGAGGGAGUGUACACUAGUCAUGCUGACUGCAGGAAUGUCCACCAGAGCUGAUAUCAGAGAAUUGAAAUUUGAUUUCUCUAACAUAACCCACAUCCAUCGUUGUUUUUACAGAAUUUGGCAGUAUGUCCAACCAACCUCAAAACCCGCCGACCACGUGUGUAUGGCGUCGUGUGGGCGAGCGGUUUCCUGACGUCAACGUUGAGUGCCCCGCGGUGGGGUUAUGGUAUGGGGCAGGUUUGAGUGCCCCGCGGUGGGGUUAUGGUAUGGGGCAGGUUUGAGUGCCCCGCGGUGGCGUUAUGGUAUGGGGCAGGUUUGAGUGCCCCGCGGUGGGGUUAUGGUAUGGGGCAGGUUUGAGUGCCCCGCGGUGGGGUUAUGGUAUGGGGCAGGUUUGAGUGCCCCGCGGUGGGGUUAUGGUAUGGGGCAGGUUUGAGUGCCCCGCGGUGGGGUUAUGGUAUGGGGCAGGUUUGAGUGCCCCGCGGUGGCGGUGGGGUUAUGGUAUGGGGCAGGUUUGAGUGCCCCGCGGUGGGGUUAUGGUAUGGGGCAGGUUUGAGUGCCCCGCGGUGGGGUUAUGGUAUGGGGCAGGUUUGAGUGCCCCGCGGUGGCGGUGGGGUUAUGGUAUGGGGCAGGUUUGAGUGCCCCGCGGUGGCGUUAUGGUAUGGGGCAGGUUUGAGUGCCCCGCGGUGGCGGUGGGGUUAUGGUAUGGGGCAGGUUUGAGUGCCCCGCGGUGGCGGUGGGGUUAUGGUAUGGGGCAGGUAUCCGCUACGGACACAACGGACACAAUUUUGCAUUUUAAAUCAUCGAGGGCAAUUUGUAAUGUCCAGAGACACCGUGACGAG
Long non-coding RNA from Oncorhynchus keta (chum salmon), 1748 nucleotides. RefSeq lists it as uncharacterized. Lineage: Eukaryota; Metazoa; Chordata; Actinopteri; Salmoniformes; Salmonidae. The record is from RefSeq and is a predicted model, not a curated record. The transcript has 7 exons.